GAUGAUGAAGACCAAGUAGAUAGUGAUGCCAAUUUGUUUGAUACAAGUUUGGAUGGUUCAGAUACCAUGGGAUUUGGUCCCCUUAUUCCAACAGAAAGUGAGAGGUCUUUAAUGGAGAGGGUCAGGCAUGAACUGAAGCAUGAUUUAAAGCAGGGUUACAAAGAGAAAAUUGCUGACAUCAGAGAGGAAAUUUUGCGCAAGAGACGAGCCGGAAAGCUACCUGGGGACACAACCUCUGUCUUGAAAUCUUGGUGGCAAUCACACUCCAAGUGGCCAUAUCCUACAGAGGAAGAUAAGGCAAGAUUGGUACAGGAAACAGGGUUGCAAUUAAAGCAGAUAAACAAUUGGUUCAUCAACCAGAGGAAGAGGAACUGGCACAGUAAUCCUUCAACUUCAACAGUCUUGAAAAGCAAACG
RNAcentral lists this unclassified non-coding RNA (416 nucleotides) under Hevea brasiliensis (rubber tree). The record is from RNAcentral. Lineage: Eukaryota; Viridiplantae; Streptophyta; Magnoliopsida; Malpighiales; Euphorbiaceae.